UAGAGUUUGAUCCUGGCUCAGAACGAACGCUGGCGGCGUGCCUAACACAUGCAAGUCGAACGGUAACAGGGACUUCGGUCCGCUGACGAGUGGCGCACGGGUGAGUAACGCGUGGGGCUACCUGCCCAUCAGUGAGGAACAACCUGGAGAAAUCCAGGCUAAUACCGCAUACGACCUUCGGGUGAAAGAGGGGGAUUCUUCGGAACCUCUCGCUGAUGGAUGGUCCCGCGUCUGAUUAGCUAGUUGGUAAGGUAACGGCUUACCAAGGCGAUGAUCAGUAGCUGGUCUGAGAGGAUGAUCAGUCACACUGGAACUGAGACACGGUCCAGACUCCUACGGGAGGCAGCAGUGGGGAAUUUUGCACAAUGGGCGAAAGCCUGAUGCAGCGACGCCGCGUGCGGGAAGAAGGCCUUCGGGUUGUAAACCGCUUUCAACAGGGAAGAAGGAAUGAGGGUUAAUACCCCUCUGCCUUGACGGUACCUGUAGAAGAAGCCCCGGCUAAUUUCGUGCCAGCAGCCGCGGUAAUACGAAAGGGGCAAGCGUUGUUCGGAUUUACUGGGCGUAAAGAGAUCGUAGGUGGCUUGUUAAGUCGGAUGUGAAAUCCCGGGGCUCAACCCCGGAACUGCAUUCGAUACUGGCAGGCUUGAGUUCGGGAGGGGUAAGCGGAAUUCCGUGUGUAGCAGUGAAAUGCGUAGAUAUACGGAGGAACACCUGAGGCGAAGGCGGCUUACUGGACCGAUACUGACACUGAGGAUCGAAAGCGUGGGUAGCAAACAGGAUUAGAUACCCUGGUAGUCCACGCCCUAAACGAUGUCAACUAGCCGUUGCGGGUAUCGACCCCA
Molecule: ribosomal RNA, 842 nt
Filed under: uncultured bacterium
Lineage: Bacteria
Description: bacterial SSU rRNA
Rfam family: Bacterial small subunit ribosomal RNA
Source: RNAcentral